UUCAAAUUCAUUUAUUAUUAACUUGUAAAAUUAUUAAUCACAUGUUGAAAAAAUUUAAAAACUCAAUAUGGAAUUUUCAUUCGGAUUUCAAAUUUUUGAUGAAUAUUUCUGAACGAAAAUGGCAUAAAUGUCUUGUACAACCUAUAAAUAUGACAGAUGACUUUAAAGUUGAUGUACCAGAGGAAAUAUUAGGGUGUGAAUCAUUUGUUGAAGUGAUGAAUUUAGUAAACUCGUUGAAUUUUUUUGCUCCAAAUAAGGAAUUUAAUCUUCUUCUUCCUGAAAGAAGAACUGAAGAAUUGAGUUAUCAGUCACGGAUGCUUUUUUCAUCAGACAAUUCAAUAAAAGAAACUAAUUUAAAUGUUAUAAGAGAUGCAGAUCAACCUGAUGACAUUUCUGCUUGGCAAGAAGUUAGUAUGAGAACGAGAGAGCACUUAAAAAAAUUAGCCGAAAUGGCUGCAGUUCCACUGAAAGUAAAAGAAAAAAAUAUCAUAAAGUUUUCAAUCUUACCAGAGCCACCGAAUCCUAAGAAAGAUGUUGCUAUCGUGAAGGCUUCAGAUAUAGAGAAAUUAACAAGUUUGAAAAAAAUUCUUGAUCCAGCUAUUUUAUCUGAUCAGAAUGAUGAAUUGCCUACUGCUAGAAUUAUUUUACACGAGUUUGAUCCAGAAGAAAAACUAGACUCUACUCAAAAAAUAUCUGAUGAGCCAAAUAAAAUAAUAUUCGACCAAAUGAAAGUUCAAAUAUUAAAUGAUCCUAAUUCAAUUAUUCCUUCAAGGUAUUCCAAAAAAAAAUAGUAAAGUUAAAUAAAGAUAUUAAUAAUUAUUUAAUUAUUGAAAAAAAAGUAAACAAACACAAUUGAUAAUCAUUGAUGGGUAAAAGAAGGAAGAGGAAAUGGCCAAGGGAUGUGACUAGAAGAGGGUAAGAACCGCUAGUGCGUAACAACCACUAGUGAUGUCAAACUAUUUUUCCAGAUGUCUGUAAUCAAUGAAGCUCGUUGUCACUAAUGUAUCAAUUUCAUAAAAAAAAGUAGAAAAAAAAUAAAGCAAAUAUAGAUAAUUAUCUGACAAGUUCGAGGAAAAUGUUAAGAGAAAAAAAUUUAAAACUAACGGAAAUUAAAUUGACAAUCUCCAAAGUAAUUGCAGAAAAUGAACGGGUGAUUUUUUUUAAAUAAAGUAUUCAAGUCUGCGUGUGGCAAAUGGUUUAAAUUCAUUCUGUUUUGGCAAUGAGUUUGCGUGACAAGUUUCGAGACUUAAGUACCAGGUUUUUAGUACGUAUUUCGCUGAACUGUGUUCGUGAGGGAUAAAAUCAGAAGGUAAAUAGUAUUGGUAUUAAAUGAUAGGGACAAGAGUCUCUCAAUGACGAUGGUAGCUACGACGAUUAUACCCGAGAGAGCUCCUUGACUAAUCACCUCGCAAAUUUUGACGAUAGUUUGGUUCCACGUGAAAACAACCAGAUGCGUGUAGAUGUCGAAUGCAUUAGAUCGUCAAGAGGGUUAUUAUUCCAUAGCUGAACCAUCAAGCCAUGGCAUUUCAUCGAUGGGUACCAUCCAAUCAUUUAAAUCAUAGCCAAAUUACAUCGGAAAUGUAUGCAGCAUAGCAUGAGGAACGAUAAUGAUCAAUUUAUUUUUUACCUUUUUUAUAUAGCUUGAUAGAAGCAAUACCAAAUGAGGACUAAUUUUAUAGAAUGCAGUCGGAGGGUUCCGCUACUAAUUUGAUGACAUGGAAAGUAUCAAUCUGACCGGAAUAAAUGAAGUUUAAAAAAAUACCAGCUGCUGUGGUGUUCUAAUUUACGUCGAUACAUUGUACUUGAUUAAAUCGAGGCGUGAGCACUGGGAUAAAGUGUCGGGGCAGGCUUUCCUCUCGGUGCAAUCUGUGAUAUCGACAGAAAAUUGAAGCUCCCGGAAUUGCCUACCUUCUGGGUGAAAAAAAUUCCAAACUAAGUCUCAAUCAAAGGUAGGAUUCCAAGCAGAAAGAAUGGCAAUUCAGUGGCUCUUGAGGCUGAAAAAGGCUUUGGACGAGUGGAUUGGCACUGGUAGCAUCUAGUCUUUAUUUACGACGCAGUACGAUGACUGCUCCGGGAUCGCAUCACCUUGACCCUCUCUCUUCUUUCCUCAGGAUUGCCAAGAGAAGCGAUACCAUCUCUAGAAGUUGGAUCAUUUUGUUCCCUCUUCUCUCCACUGUGUGUGCUAAGUUCUUUUCUUUUAGCUGCCAUAAAAGAUCACCCUGUGGUUCUAUAUUACUCACGCCACCAUGUUUUCACUUGGCCACAGCGAUCGGCACCGAUAUCAUAACUCCUUGUCGUAGUCGCGUUCGAGCAACGAAUCUACCCGAGCUCAUCGUCUAUCUUCCUCUAUUCCUUCUUCUCGUGGCUUUGGACUCAGGCGAUAGUAAUUCUGAUAUACCAGAUGCCAAGGAGCGGAUGCUACUCAAACGCUAGAUGUACGCGGAAAUGAGAUAUGCUCAUGGACAUUUUUAUUAUCUUCGAUCUUGAUAGGUAUCUCAGUGUCUAUUCGUGUCCUAUAUUGUCUUGGAAUGGAAUUUUUUCAACCAAAGGUAUAUCAUCAAAACUGCAUACAAGAAUAGAUGCUUUAUGACUUCCCUUACACGUCAACGUUUACCCUAAGCAGUGUAAAGUAAGAUGAAGAAUGUUUUUAUAACAAGUUUCUCGACACAGCUAACUUAAACUUUGUUAAAUGCUACAACUCUUUAUAAUUAAUAAUGGCAAUUCGUCAACUUGCUUGUGUAUUCAGUUGGUGGAAUAAA
RNA transcript from Chelonus insularis, 2759 nucleotides. RefSeq lists it as uncharacterized. The record is from RefSeq and is a predicted model, not a curated record. The transcript has 2 exons. Lineage: Eukaryota; Metazoa; Arthropoda; Insecta; Hymenoptera; Braconidae.